GUACUAGUAGUUCAGGGCCUAGAACGCCGGUCUUGUAAACCGGAUGACGGAGGUUAAAAUCCCCCCUAGUACU
This 73-nucleotide transfer RNA is filed under the name Cephalopholis miniata (coral hind). RNAcentral's name for it is "tRNA-Thr". It matches the Rfam family "tRNA". Rfam says of the family: Transfer RNA (tRNA) molecules are approximately 80 nucleotides in length. Their secondary structure includes four short double-helical elements and three loops (D, anti-codon, and T loops). RNAcentral also lists the same sequence under 2 other names. The record is from RNAcentral. Lineage: Eukaryota; Metazoa; Chordata; Actinopteri; Perciformes; Serranidae.